RNAcentral lists this long non-coding RNA (726 nucleotides) under Homo sapiens (human). Its description in RNAcentral is "HSALNT0311798". Lineage: Eukaryota; Metazoa; Chordata; Mammalia; Primates; Hominidae. The record is from RNAcentral.
AGAAAAUCAAAUGAACAAAAAUGUGUCUUAAGUUAGGAUUCCCGAGCCCUUGCCCUGUGCCUGGCCCUGUACCCUGUGUCUUCAGUGCUGCGGAGAAUGCAGCACAGACCCUGCCCUCAAGGCUUACAGUCUAAGGCCUGAAUGACUAUGCCCAGCUCCCUCCCUUAAAAUGAAGGCUGCUAUUCCCAGAAGUCAGGGGCAGCCUGGAACCCAAGAGCCUUGUAUCCCUGUCCAGGGCAUUACAUUUCAUGAAGGCAAGAACAGACCAAAUCCUGUGGACUUUUGGCAGGUGAAUUUUGGGGUACCAUGAAUCUCAGAGGUUGUUGUGCGGGCAUGACAUCAUCCAAGUAGUCAGGGAAUUUCUAGAAGGGUGGGGAAACAGAUGUUACAGAAGGACAAUGCCAUCCUGGGAGGAGGGAAUGGAAGAGGCUUCCAUCACCAGGGGAGCUAGCUCUGGCCUUUGUGGCUCCUACUUUAGUGACAUGAGAAAGUCUCUGGGGCUUUCAUGUGAACCUGUUUCAACUCCUGAGGCCAAAUAUGCUCUAUGUGUCACCCGGAGAGUCCCAGCUAAGAGGCCAAAUGAGUAAAAUGCAAGACAUGAAGCUGGGAGGGGUCGGAAUGCUGAUCUGACCUCAGGCUGCUGGAGAGAAGUUAACUAGCUUUUUAAAAUUUUUAUUUAUUUUUUUAAGAGAUAGUGUCUUGCUAUAUUGCCCAAGCUGAACUUGA